This 472-nucleotide ribosomal RNA is filed under the name uncultured bacterium. RNAcentral describes it as "partial 16S ribosomal RNA". It matches the Rfam family "Bacterial small subunit ribosomal RNA", at positions 28 to 523 of the family's 1533-position model. The record is from RNAcentral.
GACGAACGCUGGCGGCGUGCUUAACACAUGCAAGUCGAACGGGAGUAUCGAAGAAGCUUGCUUUUAAGAUACUUUAGUGGCGGACGGGUGAGUAACGCGUGAGGAGCUGUCCUAUGCAGGGGGACAACAGUUGGAAACGACUGCUAAUACCCCAUAAGCCGAGAGGUAAAAGGAUUUAUCCGGCAAAGGAGGUACUCGCGUCCUAUAAGCUAGUAGGUUGGGUAACGGCCGACCUAGGCGAAGACGGGUAGCCGGCCUGAGAGGGCGAACGGGCACACUGGAACUGAGAUACGGUCCAGACUCCUACGGGAGGCAGCAGUGGGGAAUAUUGGGCAAUGGGGGAAACCCUGACCCAGCGACGCCGCGUGGGUGAAGAAAUCCUUCGGGAUGUAAAGCCCUGUUGUAUGGGAAGAGCAGAAGACGGUACCAUACGAGGAAGCCCCGGCAAACUACGUGCCAACCGCCGCCGUAA